CAGGUAACAAAAUUCAUUUGAAAAUGAAUUUCUCGGUGGGUGCCAUCAUCAUUAUUCAAGGUGAUUCAUCAAAAACUCAUGGGUUGACAAGUGUCGGUGACAAUGAGCUCUCGCCUCUUGAUGCAUUCAAGAAAAGCUGAGGAGCUCAAGAACAUCACAUCAAGUCAUUGUGUUAGGAAUUUGGAAGGAAGACUUAACAAUCACAAGCAAGCUAAAGUGAAAGUACAAGGCUCCAAUUGAAAGAAAAUAAAAGUAUGAAGAAAAUGUUUAUGUGCGCAAAGAAGCUACUCUUCUAAUACAAGUUGCAUGCUUAAGGAGAUUUUUAUUUCAUUAAGGACAUUUUUGUAAUAAUUAGAUUAGGCUAUAAAUAGUAAAGAAUAGCUCCUUUAAAUUCAGAUUAUUUUGUGAUAUUGAGAUUAUGUGUAAAACUUUUGUGAGAAUAUAAUUGAGAUUAAAACAUUUGUUUA
This is a long non-coding RNA of Capsicum annuum, 467 nucleotides long. RefSeq lists it as uncharacterized. The transcript has 3 exons. Lineage: Eukaryota; Viridiplantae; Streptophyta; Magnoliopsida; Solanales; Solanaceae. The record is from RefSeq and is a predicted model, not a curated record.